RNAcentral lists this ribosomal RNA (206 nucleotides) under uncultured bacterium. RNAcentral describes it as "partial 16S ribosomal RNA". It matches the Rfam family "Bacterial small subunit ribosomal RNA", at positions 568 to 774 of the family's 1533-position model. The record is from RNAcentral.
AGCGCAGACGGUUGAUUAAGUCUGAUGUGAAAGCCCGGAGCUCAACUCCGGAAUGGCAUUGGAAACUGGUUAACUUGAGUGCAGUAGAGGUAAGUGGAACUCCAUGUGUAGCGGUGGAAUGCGUAGAUAUUGGGAGGAACACCAGUGGCGAAGGCGGCUUACUGGACGAUGACUGACGUUGAGGCUCGAAAGCGUGGGAGCAAACA